AAGGAAUUUUGCGCAAUGGGCGAAAGCCUGACGCAGCAACGCCGCGUGAGGGAUGAAGGCCUUCGGGUUGUAAACCUCUUUUGUCAGGGACGAAUAAUGACGGUACCUGGCGAAUAAGCUUCGGCUAACUACGUGCCAGCAGCCGCGGUAAUACGUAGGAAGCAAGCGUUAUCCGGAUUUACUGGGCGUAAAGUGAGCGUAGGUGGCCUUUCAAGUCGGAUGUGAAAUCUCCUGGCUUAACUGGGAGGAGUCAUUCGAUACUGUUGGGCUUGAGGACAUCAAGGGAAGGUGGAAUUCCGGGUGUAGUGGUGAAAUGCGUAGAUAUCCGGAGGAACACCAGUGGCGAAGGCGGCCUUCUGGGAUGUUUCUGACACUGAGGCUCGAAAGUGUGGGGAGCGAAC
Molecule: ribosomal RNA, 401 nt
Filed under: uncultured bacterium
Lineage: Bacteria
Description: bacterial SSU rRNA
Rfam family: Bacterial small subunit ribosomal RNA
Source: RNAcentral